AAUGAACGCUGGCGGCAUGCCUAACACAUGCAAGUCGAACGAGAUCUUCGGAUCUAGUGGCGCACGGGUGCGUAACGCGUGGGAAUCUACCCUUGGGUUCGGAAUAACAGCGAGAAAUUGCUGCUAAUACCGGAUGAUGACGUAAGUCCAAAGAUUUAUCGCCUAGGGAUGAGCCCGCGUAGGAUUAGGUAGUUGGUGUGGUAAAGGCGCACCAAGCCUACGACCUUAGCUGGUCUGAGAGGAUGAUCAGCCACACUGGGACUGAGACACGGCCCAGACUCCUACGGGAGGCAGCAGUGGGGAAUAUUGGACAAUGGGCGGAAAGCCUGAUCCAGCAAUGCCGCGU
RNAcentral lists this ribosomal RNA (346 nucleotides) under uncultured bacterium. RNAcentral describes it as "bacterial SSU rRNA". It matches the Rfam family "Bacterial small subunit ribosomal RNA", at positions 29 to 402 of the family's 1533-position model. The record is from RNAcentral.